RNAcentral lists this ribosomal RNA (468 nucleotides) under uncultured bacterium. RNAcentral describes it as "partial 16S ribosomal RNA". It matches the Rfam family "Bacterial small subunit ribosomal RNA", at positions 28 to 507 of the family's 1533-position model. The record is from RNAcentral.
GACGAACGCUGGCGGCGUGCUUAACACAUGCAAGUCGAACGGAAAGGCCCUGCUUUUGUGGUGUGCUCGAGUGGCGAACGGGUGAGUAACACGUGAGUAACCUGCCCUUGACUUUGGGAUAACUUCAGGAAACUGGGGCUAAUACCGGAUAGGAGCUCCUGCUGCAUGGUGGGGGUUGGAAAGUUUCGGCGGUUGGGGAUGGACUCGCGGCUUAUCAGCUUGUUGGUGGGGUAGUGGCUUACCAAGGCUUUGACGGGUAGCCGGCCUGUGAGGGUGACCGGCGAAAAUGGGACUGAGAUACGGACCAGACUGUAACGGGAGGCAGCAGUGGGGAAUAUUGCACAAUGGGAGGAAGCCUGAUGAAGAAACGCGGCGUGCGGGAUGACGGCCUUCGGGUAGAAAACAGCAUUAGCCUGUGACGAAGCGUGAGUGACGGUAAUGGGUAAAGAAGCACCGGCUAACUACGUG